CCAUUUAAAUUUGAGCUUUCAUCUCUUGAAAAAUGCAUGGCUUGGAUUUCAGCUACCUGUAUUUUCCUCUCCCUGCAUCACUUCUGUGAUUUAACUCUCAGCAUAACUCAGCUGCUGCUCAUGUGAGCAUCUCUCAGGACCUCAAUACCACCAGCUUCCCUCAGCUGAAGGAAAAUCGGUGACCUUAGCAGUGAAGCUGACAGCUUUUGCUCCAGCACUGGUACUGAUUCAGGCUUGUUGCCUGUUUACCAUGCCUGUGGUGCACCUCUAUUAGAAAUACAUCACUUGCUGCCAUAAAACAGAAAGGGAAAAGUUUACUCUUCUCCCCACCUUAAUCAAGUGCUUUGUGCUUCUGAAUUUAAUCUGAUCUUACAGACGUUUCUGCAGCUCGUGUUCUCUCCAUGUCUUUGCUGGAGGCACAACUUUAUUCCAGCUGCUCUCCAGAGAUGUGUGGAUGUAUCCCUGAAACGUGAAGGCUGUGGCUCUGAGAAUUCAUGGGCCACACGGGCUUCUAAUGGGACAGGCAGAAGGCCUGAAGGCUUGGGAGAUGGCAAGAGCAAAUCUCAGGAACGUUUUGUCUUCAUCCCCAUCCCCUUGGUGGAAGAGUUUCCAUUGGCAAAUCCUGAUCUGAUGUGAUUCUGCCAGCAGUUCUCCAGCACUCCAAUGCUCCAUGUAACAGCUGAGGCGUUGCAGUCAGAAAGGAAACCUUAAACUUGGGUUUUCCAUCAUCUUUUUCCUCUCAUCUCCUGAAGAAUCCCUAAGACUCAUACGAUUUUCCAGGCUCUGAGACAGAAGUAAGACUUGUUUGAUUGUUUCUGUGGCAAAUUAAAGGGUUUGUGGCAAAUUAAGGAAUAUCAUCUCUAUCCAACAUGUGCAAAUCCCAAAGAUAACAGUUUAAAUGGUCCCAAUGUAAAUGUCUGUAUCUUCAGGGCUGACUACAGAAGUGACAUAAAAAGGCUUUGGGGCAACAACUGUGCACUUGUUUGUUCUUUUGCCCAGCAGCUGUCACAGUGAGUCUUUCUUCUGUGCUAAAACUUUGUUGUAUUCCACUCUAACAAGUAGUAAAAACAACAGCAGAAGUGGUGGGAAGCUGCAGCUGAAGGGAAACUUAUUCCAGAGCAGUAUUUAAUAGGCUGUGCUUCCAUCUACCCAAUGUGACUGGAACAGAACCAUGCUGUAACUCACCUAAGUGGCCUCUGUCAGCUCAAAUAACAGUCGUAGCUAAGAAAGCUGCACCUUGAAUUUCACCACUGCCACAUGUCUGCCCUUUUCCAAAUCUCAGAAGCAAUUCUGUGCUCGCUGCAGGAUGAAUCCCUACUGAAAAGCAUUGCUCUCGUUUAGGGGACCUCAGAGGAGUGAACGCAGUGAUUUGCUCAGCACACACUGCUCUCAGUUUACUUCUCACUGCCCCUUCCCCAUCUUAUCCCCUUUGUUACCCCCACUCUCACCUGCAGCUCUUUGCACUGGCUUUAUUUCACGCAGCACCUCGCAAAGCAGAGCUGUUCUCACAGCCUCUUGUCAUUACAUCCAAGGAAACCCAAAGAUGGAUGUUUCCUUACCCUGAAGCCCCCAGCUGCUAUCUCUAUAGCACAUAACUCUCACCAACACGGCUCGCAUUUGCAGGAUACAGAAUUGAAAUUCCACUGACAAUAUCAGGAACGCAAAAAAACAAGUGCUGGAAUUGCUCGUGCUUUAUAGACACUUCCUGACAGGAGCUUAUCUCCACCUGUACAAUGCGUUGUUAUCCUCAUAAAUGCUGCAUGUUUGUAUAUCAUGGGUAAUGAAACGCAGCCCUAGCAGCUCAUAAGACACAUGAGGACUGGCAGAGCUUCUUGCAGUGGCUGGAUAAUUCAAUGUGAGGUGGUUUACA
This is a long non-coding RNA of Phasianus colchicus (ring-necked pheasant), 1870 nucleotides long. RefSeq lists it as uncharacterized. The record is from RefSeq and is a predicted model, not a curated record. Lineage: Eukaryota; Metazoa; Chordata; Aves; Galliformes; Phasianidae.